CCUACGGGAGGCAGCAGUGGGGAAUAUUGCACAAUGGGGGCAACCCUGAUGCAGCGACGCCGCGUGAGUGAAGAAGGCAUUCGGUAUGUAAAGCUCUAUCAGCAGGGACGAAAAUAACUGUACAUGAGUAAGAAGCCCCGGCUAAAUACGUGCCAGCAGCCGCGGUAAUACGUAGGGGGCAAACGUUAUACGGAUUUUAUGGGUGUAAAGGGGGCGUAGACGGCAGAGCAAGUCUGGAGUGAAAGGCGGGGGCUCAACCCCCGGACUGCUCUGGAAACUGUACGGCUGGAGUGCAGGAGAGGUAAGUGGAAUUCCUAGUGUAGCGGUGAAAGGCGUAGAUAUUAGGAGGAACACCAGUGGCGAAGGCGGCUUACUGGACUGUAACUGACGUUGAGGCGCGAAAGCGUGGGGAGCAAACAGGAUUAGAUACCCGAGUAGUC
RNAcentral lists this ribosomal RNA (440 nucleotides) under uncultured bacterium. Its description in RNAcentral is "partial 16S ribosomal RNA". It matches the Rfam family "Bacterial small subunit ribosomal RNA", at positions 338 to 795 of the family's 1533-position model. The record is from RNAcentral.